GGGGGGGGGGCAAGCGUUGUUCGGAUUUACUGGGCGUAAAGGGGGGCUCGUAGGCGGCCAAUUAAGUCGGGUUGUGAAAUCCCUCGGCUCAACCGGGGAACUGCGACCGAUACUGGAAGGCUUGAAGCCGGGAGAGGGAUGCGGAAUUCCAGGAGUAGCGGUGAAAUGCGUAGAUACCUGGAGGAACACCCGUGGCGAAGGCGGCAUCCUGGACCGGUCUUGACGCUGAGGAGCGAAAGCUAGGGUAGCAAACGGGAUUAGAUACCCCGGUAGUCCUAGCCCUAAACGAUGAAUGCUUGGUGUGGCGGGUAUCGAUCCCUGCCGUGCCGGAGCUAACGCGUUAAGCAUUCCGCCUGGGGAGUACGGUCGCAAGGCUG
This 377-nucleotide ribosomal RNA is filed under the name uncultured organism. RNAcentral's name for it is "partial 16S ribosomal RNA". It matches the Rfam family "Bacterial small subunit ribosomal RNA", at positions 525 to 896 of the family's 1533-position model. The record is from RNAcentral.